GUAGGGUGCGAGCGUUAAUCGGAAUUACUGGGCGUAAAGCGUGCGCAGGCGGUUUUGUAAGCCAGAUGUGAAAUCCCCGGGCUUAACCUGGGAAUGGCAUUUGGGACUGCAAGGCUGGAGUUUGGCAGAGGAGACUGGAAUUCCCGGUGUAGCAGUGAAAUGCGUAGAUAUCGGGAGGAAUACCGAUGGCGAAGGCAGGUCUCUGGGCUAUAACUGACGCUCAUGCACGAAAGCGUGGGGAGCAAACAGGAUUAGAUACCCUGGUAGUCCACGCCCUAAACGAUGUCGACUGGUUGUUGGGGGUUUGACACUCUCAGUAACGAAGCUAACGCGUGAAGUCGACCGCCUGGGGAGUACGGCCGCAAGGUUA
RNAcentral lists this ribosomal RNA (370 nucleotides) under uncultured bacterium. RNAcentral's name for it is "bacterial SSU rRNA". It matches the Rfam family "Bacterial small subunit ribosomal RNA", at positions 527 to 896 of the family's 1533-position model. RNAcentral also lists the same sequence under 1 other name. The record is from RNAcentral.